UACGAGGGGGGCAAGCGUUGUUCGGAAUUAUUGGGCGUAAAGGGCGCGUAGGCGGUGCGGUAAGUCACCUGUGAAAACUCUGGGCUCAACUCAGAGCCUGCAGGCGAAACUGCCGUGCUUGAGUGUGGGAGAGGUGCGUGGAAUUCCCGGUGUAGCGGUGAAAUGCGCAGAUAUCAGGAGGAACACCGGUGGCGAAGGCGGAUCUCUGGGCCGAUACUGACGCUGAGGAGCGAAAGCGUGGGGAGCGAACAGG
RNAcentral lists this ribosomal RNA (253 nucleotides) under uncultured bacterium. Its description in RNAcentral is "partial 16S ribosomal RNA". It matches the Rfam family "Bacterial small subunit ribosomal RNA", at positions 524 to 776 of the family's 1533-position model. The record is from RNAcentral.